Molecule: non-coding RNA, 1520 nt
Organism: Camellia sinensis
Lineage: Eukaryota; Viridiplantae; Streptophyta; Magnoliopsida; Ericales; Theaceae
Source: RefSeq, a predicted model, not a curated record
GUCUCUGCCUUACCCUUCCCACAUAUCCACAUCUCCUCCCCACCUUCUCUCUUUAUCUUUCUCUCCUCUCUGUUCUCACGUCUCCACCCUAUUCCCUAUUUAUCUCUCUUCCUCUCUGUUCUUCUUCUUGAACAGAACCACCAAAAUCACCUAUCUCCCCAUUUCCUCUUUAUCUCUCUCCCUCUCUCUCGAUCACCACCAUCGCGGGCAUCGACCACCUCUAUUCCUGUCCUCCUCCCUCUCUCUGUUGUAUUUUUUUUCCCCGAAAUACAUCUUCAAUCUAGCUCCAUUGUUCAUCAUUGUUAUCUUUGUUGAAGUCGAUUUGCCGCUGCUCAUCAUCACCACUCGCAAGGUUCCCUUUCUCCCACCCUCGAUUGUUCCCUUCGCAAGAUAGAAAUCACGAUCUGCUCCAAAAUUGAAUUUUGAAAUCGUGAUUUCCCUUCAAAUUGAAAUUCUGUUUGAACACAAUUUGAAUUAUGAAAUGAAAUCGUCAUUCUGAAAUCGUGAUUUCCCUUCAAAUUGAAUUUCCCUGCAAAUUGAAUUCUGUUUGAACAAUUCUGUUGGAUUUGAAUUUAACCUAUCGAUUUCAGGUCGAAAUCACGAUCCGCUCAAAAAAUUGUUCAUUUUUCCCUGGAUUUGGUACUUUAAGAAAUCACAUUCUUGUGUGGUUGCUUUGAAUUUAACCUAUCAAUUACGGGUGAGCAUAUUUUACUUGGAUCAGUAGAUUUGUUGAUGUAUAUUUUUGAAUUGACUGAGUUGUUUGUGUGUGCUGUGAUUGUAGCAUUUGUUUGAUAGAUCUUGAAAAAUUGGCUCCCCAACGCCAGCAGCGCCACAUGGAUGGCCAGAUGCAACAGAACAAUGCUGCUGCGACAAUUGCUCCGUAUGAUCACCCUGGCGGAGGGUCCCUGCGCAAUGAGGGUCCCGGAAGCGAUGCUGGAGAUGCAGUCUUGGCACGCUGGCUCCAGUUCGUCGGGUUUGCAGCAUUUGGCCUCACCUUUGGCAUCUACCAAAAUUGAUCAUCGCCUCUUACCUAACCUUCUCAUGGAGCGACGGUGGAGAUGCAGUCAUGGCACGCUGGCUCCAGUCCGCCGGGUUGCAGCAUCUGGCCUCACCCUUAGCAUCUACCCGAGUUGAACAUCGCCUCCUAUCUAACCUUCUCAUGCAGGCAUCGGAAUUUGGUGAGGAGAAUAGUUGUAAAGGCUCCAUCAAUAGAGGGAAUGGAAGGUGAGGGAAGAUUAAUCGAAUGAUCAACCUUUUGGUUGAGGAAAAAGUUCUCCUUUGCUAAACUUUUGAUUGGGGUGAGGAAAAGGUUCCCCUUUGCUUGACUGGGUUAAGUUUAUGAACUUAUCUAUUUUUUGGAUGAUGUUCUCUUUGCUAAUUAUUUUUAUUAUUAUUUCUUGUUUUUGGGAAAAAGUAAAAAAAUUAGCAGUUUUUUUGCUUUUUUUGUUUGCAUUACUUCUAAAUAGUUUGAAUGCUCUCAAUUGGAUCUUAGUUGUGAGUCUAUGAAAUAUUUCUUUUGA